Molecule: unclassified non-coding RNA, 213 nt
Filed under: uncultured Gammaproteobacteria bacterium
Lineage: Bacteria; Pseudomonadati; Pseudomonadota; Gammaproteobacteria
Description: contains 16S-23S intergenic spacer region
Source: RNAcentral
UCCGGUUUGUCACCGGCAGUCUCAUUAGAGUGCCCAACCAAAUGUAGCAACUAAUGACAAGGGUUGCGCUCGUUGCGGGACUUAACCCAACAUCUCACGGCACGAGCUGACGACAGCCAUGCAGCACCUGUGUUAGCGUUCCCUUUCGGGCACCCUCGCAUCUCUGCGAGGUUCGCUACAAGUCAAGGGUAGGUAAGGUGGGGAUGACGUUCG